GAUGAAGGAGUUGGACAGUUUCUCACUCUUUUGUCCAGCAUGAAGAAUGGCUCUGAUUACAACUUUUCGGAAUUGAGAUUAGGUGUUCAUGCUGGCACUCAUGUUGAUGCACCAGGACAUAUGUAUGCUGAAUAUUAUGAUGCAGGAUUUGAUGUUGAUUCCCUUGAUCUAAGAGUUCUCAACGGUAUUAACCUAGGAACUUCCAGCCAUGUAUGCUGAAUAUUAUGAUGCAGGGUUUGAUGUUGAUUCUCUUGACCUUAGAGUUCUCAACGGUAUUAACCCAGGAAAUUCUACCUUUAGCCAGCAUUAAGAACUGCUAGUUAUAUGAUUACUCUUGCACAUAAGAAAGAUGAUCAAUCUUGUUCCUAAUUUUAAUAACUGAUGGCUCUGAUUAACUCAAAACAUGGUAGUGACCGUGAAUUUUACUUGCUCUUUCGAAUUGAUAUGCUAAUGGAGUCUGGAGAUUUAGGUCUUAAAAAAUCAAACCACUGAAAACAGUUGAGACCUGGUCUAAGAAUUAGAUAUUUUGCGAAUCAAUUCUUUUGAAAUCUAUUUUCAGUCUAAGCUACUAGUAUGUUUUAUCCUCGCUCAAUAAAGAUUUUAUGACUGUGAUUCUAGAGUCUAAGAUAUUGAUAUCCUCCCAGAUGCCCAAGAGCGGAUAUAUGCCCAUUUUGUUACUUAUCAAAUUUAAAAAGAAAAAGCUAGUAAACAGUUUAACCUCACAGGAAGUCCUGAAAUGUAACAAGUCAUUACUGAAAAAGGGGAA
RNAcentral lists this long non-coding RNA (766 nucleotides) under Nicotiana benthamiana. RNAcentral describes it as "long non-coding RNA (NBEN_LNC008677)". The record is from RNAcentral. Lineage: Eukaryota; Viridiplantae; Streptophyta; Magnoliopsida; Solanales; Solanaceae.